Molecule: ribosomal RNA, 497 nt
Filed under: uncultured bacterium
Lineage: Bacteria
Description: partial 16S ribosomal RNA
Rfam family: Bacterial small subunit ribosomal RNA
Source: RNAcentral
GAUGAACGCUGGCGGCGUGCCUAAUACAUGCAAGUCGAGCGUACAGACGAGGAGCUUGCUCCUCUGACGUUAGCGGCGGACGGGUGAGUAACACGUGGAUAACCUACCUAUAAGACUGGGAUAACUUCGGGAAACCGGAGCUAAUACCGGAUAAUAUAUUGAACCGCAUGGUUCAAUAGUGAAAGACGGUUUUGCUGUCACUUAUAGAUGGAUCCGCGCCGCAUUAGCUAGUUGGUAAGGUAACGGCUUACCAAGGCAACGAUGCGUAGCCGACCUGAGAGGGUGAUCGGCCACACUGGAACUGAGACACGGUCCAGACUCCUACGGGAGGCAGCAGUAGGGAAUCUUCCGCAAUGGGCGAAAGCCCGACGGAGCAACGCCGCGUGAGUGAUGAAGGUCUUCGGAUCGUAAAACUCUGUUAUUAGGGAAGAACAAAUGUGUAAGUAACUAUGCACGUCUUGACGGUACCUAAUCAGAAAGCCACGGCUAACUACGUG